This is a long non-coding RNA of Solanum tuberosum (potato), 3095 nucleotides long. RefSeq lists it as uncharacterized. The transcript has 6 exons. NCBI's taxonomy places the organism in Eukaryota, Viridiplantae, Streptophyta, Magnoliopsida, Solanales, Solanaceae. The record is from RefSeq and is a predicted model, not a curated record.
UGUCAUCAGGCAACCUCACUUCUAUCGUUUAUAUUUGUGUUAAAAAUAUAUAUUUCAAAUGUAUGCCUUAAACUCAAGCCUAAAGAAGAAUAUGUAUAAACAAAUUUUUCAAAAGCAACUGCUAAUUGACUGAAAAUUGAAAUUGAUGCUUCACUUUUGAUCUUUCCUCAUUUAACUUCUAAUUUUAGCAAACACUUUAUUUCUCUAAAGAAAAUACAAUUGAGGAUUAUACAUUUACGCCUUUAGGUCUUCAAAGAAAAAUUUGAUCUAUGCACUUUUUGGUUUUGAUCAAACAGCAGUGCCUAUCAUAACAACUAUGCUAAAAGAUCUCUUACUCUUAGCCAUUAUGGUAGAAUAACUGUAACAUUCUAGAUUUCAUUUUCUUAACAACUCUUAUAUGCCACUUGAUGCAAUGGUAAACAUAAUAUUGCCUUUGUAAGAGGCCUUUCUCUGUCAGAUUGGAUAUGCACAGUUGAUAUGAUAGAAAUUUAGCACUUCACUGGUUAUAUUCAUGUACCCUUAUCGCCUUAUUAAUGUUCUGCCGCACAAAAAUCAUAGUUUAGGUUUGGAGUGAUAUUUCUACAACAUCCACUACUUUAUUCUCUUGACUAUUGACAGAAAUAUGUCAAUGAAAGGAAAUCAGGUAUCUUGCAGGUCUCUUGGAUAUGCUCCAAUUCCUACAUCCUUUAGUCCAGUGGGCAGUUCUAUCAAUGUGCUCUUAAUUUUUCGCUUUCUGGUGCAACUUGAACCAUUUCACUUUGUCUCCGCGAGUAUGAAAAUGAGAGUAUUCACAUGGUGUCCACUUUGUGACUUCACAACGCUCAUCAAAUUUACUUUUCGGAAUUGGUAAAGAGAGAGGUACAUGCUAAUGGAUGUAAAAUUAGAUGAUAAUCAAAGACUUCAAAAAAUAAUUUAUGUAUAAAAAAGAUUAAAAUAUACCUUGAAAUUUGCUACAAGGAUCAUAUAUAUCCCUACAUGAUUUUUUUUAAUUUAAAAGUCAAAAAUAUAAAUUUAAAACUAUUUUUUUCACUUCCGUUAAAUUAAGGGUAUAUGUGAGCUCAUUUUGUAACGGUAGGGGUAUAUGUGAGCCGUUUGUAUAACGGUAAGAGUAUCCACUUUUUAUUAACGAAGGUUAAGCUUAUCUAUCACGUUGUGAACUUUCAGAUUAAUUGGCUUGAUCUGAUUUUUGGUAUAUUUCCUCCUAAAAGACGAUCCAUUAAAUUUUUCACAUCCAUUUAGUUAACUGUAAUACAAAAUGACCAAUUUUUGGCAGUCAAAACAUGAAAUGCUUUCUAGGAGAGUUAUAUAAAUUGUGAUACAUCCCAAUAAUAUACAUCCCAAUAAUUAAUGAAAAGGAAUAUGUGAGAAGAAAAGUGUUUUAUGCAAGCGAUAACAAUAUCAAGCUUUUAAAAUUUUGUUUCUUAAACUUUUGUGGUUCGAGUAAUCUUGUAUCUACAGUUUUUUUAUAUUUAGUUCAUGAUGUAUCGGAAUAAGCAGUUCAUUUACAUAUUAAUAUUUUCCACGUAGAUGCUUUUUGAUAUCUAAAUGGCCAUAUCAGUUCAAGGUUUUAUGUUUUAAAUUUCAACUUUCAAUUCAUUUUGGGAUCAGCCAAUUAAUUAAAUUUUAAUUGCUUGCUUUUUACUAAGCUUAAAUGCUAGCAUUGCAGGAACAUAUGUAAUUUUCUUUUGGUUGCUUCGCUCUUCCUAUCAAGGGUGAUUGCUUAUAGUUCUAGCUGAAGGAUAUGACAGAGAUGACCUACCUCUUAAAGUUUUUAUUUUUUUAUUACAAACAAUACAAUCAAAAGUAAAUGAAGAUGAGGUGAACAAAACUUUCGGUCACAAUACUCAAUCAAUUAAGGCCCCAGGACUUCUCCCGUUCUCUUGGAGAUGAGUGAAGACACAAGCAGAAGAAAGAGUAGAAGUUUGAUAGGAUUCAUUGGUAAACAAAAAAGACAUGUUUAUCACGAAGAGAAUGUAUCUCAAGAGAUAAAAGCUAUUUGUUAUGAAGAUAUAUCAUACUGGACUACAACACUGUAUUCAUUGAGCUCUCAUUACUGUGACAUGUUUCAUGGUAAAUCCCAAUUUUGCUAAUGUGGAAUGAUUUUUACAUUUUCUUAUUUGUUUAGUUUAAAUGCUAUGAUUGUUUGAGGGAUAUUGGGUCUAAUCAGAUCUGACACACUUUCUACCAGACUACAUAAGGAGCCUUAAAAAAGAACACUAUAACAGGUGGAUGUAUAGAGAAGUAAUGAAAGUUAUGUUCUCACAUUAUUCAAUUAUUUGAAGGUUAAAUCGACUAUUUGAUCUCAGUUCCUAAGACGUUAAGUGUUGAUUGAUCUUCCUCCCCAAGGAGCUCAAUUUACCUCUGCACGGAUGAUCUAGAUCAGAAGAUUUUCAAAACUUUCAAUAAUUUCUUACCAUUUAAGUUUCUAUCUCAAAUAUUGUUGGAAUUUAUGUUUUGGCUAUAUCAAAGAAAAUGAGAUGGUUUGACCAUUGAAAUCGAUACACCUCUGAAUGGGCACUUGAUUAAACACUUGUAGGAUUCACAUUGCACCGAUUUUGAGAAAACCUUCAAAGACCAUGAUGAUGCUGCAUUGAGUAUCUUGCAGGUCUCUUGGAUAUGCUCCAAUUCCUACAUCCUUUAGUCCAGUGGGCAGUUCUAUCAAUGUGCUCUUAGAUAGGGAACGAGCACUGAACGAAAAAUACUCAACUUGACGCCCAUAAAAUAUUUUAACAACAACAAAUUAAGGCUUUCUUCCCGUUUUUCUCGACUCCGAGCUCUUGGAAUUGGAAUAAAUUCUGAUAAAAGAAAUAGAUGCAACAACUUCUCUUAACCAUUGACUAUCCUUACUGCUCCCUCGCCGAUAAAUGGCUUGCCUCUUCUCCAACAAAUCACUACUGGUACUUAUACUAAAUUUCAAACUUCCGUUUCCAAAAUUUAUCUUUAAUGUUGAAAAUUCUCAAUUUUGACAGUCAUCUGCAUUCACUCUUAAAGAAAUAAUUGGGUAUUGAAUUAUAAAGAAAAUUUCUUAACUUAAGAUAUCAUGUAUAACAAUAGAUAUAUUUCACUAUUUAUGUAUCUAUCCUAUAAUUAUUUUC